AAACUGUCUUUAGAUUUUUAAAUUUAACUUACUUAGGAAGUGCAAAUUCUUCUAAUUUAAAUAAUAGACGAGAAGACCCUAUAAAUUUUUAAUUAGAAAGAAUUAUCUCUUCUUACCCGUUUUUGUUGGGGCAACAGGUUUCCAUAAGAAACAAACUUAAAACUGUCUAAUGAAUCUAUCGAGAUAUUCUAGCAGAAAAAAAAUUACUUUAGGGAUAACAGCAUAAUUUUUCAUAAAGAUUGUGACCUCGAUGUUGGAUUAG
RNAcentral lists this ribosomal RNA (262 nucleotides) under Vestia elata. RNAcentral describes it as "partial 16S ribosomal RNA". Lineage: Eukaryota; Metazoa; Mollusca; Gastropoda; Stylommatophora; Clausiliidae. The record is from RNAcentral.